This 484-nucleotide ribosomal RNA is filed under the name uncultured bacterium. RNAcentral describes it as "partial 16S ribosomal RNA". It matches the Rfam family "Bacterial small subunit ribosomal RNA", at positions 30 to 507 of the family's 1533-position model. The record is from RNAcentral.
AUUGAACGCUGGCGGCAUGCCUUACACAUGCAAGUCGAACGGCAGCGCGGACUUCGGUCUGGCGGCGAGUGGCGAACGGGUGAGUAAUACAUCGGAACGUACCCUGUUGUGGGGGGUAACUAGUCGAAAGAUUAGCUAAUACCGCAUACGACCUGAGGGUGAAAGUGGGGGACCGCAAGGCCUCACGCAGCAGGAGCGGCCGAUGUCUGAUUAGCUAGUUGGUGGGGUAAAGGCCCACCAAGGCGACGAUCAGUAGCUAGUCUGAGAGGACGAUCAGCCACACUGGGACUGAGACACGGCCCAGACUCCUACGGGAGGCAGCAGUGGGGAAUUUUGGACAAUGGGGGCAACCCUGAUCCAGCAAUGCCGCGUGUGUGAAGAAGGCCUUCGGGUUGUAAAGCACUUUUGUCCGGAAAGAAAUCGCGCUGGUUAAUACCUGGCGUGGAUGACGGUACCGGAAGAAUAAGCACCGGCUAACUACGUG